CCUGCCUGCCCGCCGCGGCCCCGGCAGAGCGGGGACAGGGGGGCUCGGCAUCCGCCUCUUCGGGGAGGCGAACGGAGCUGGGAGAGUGAGCCGAGAAAGGGAAGUCCGAAGGAGGAAACAGAGAAGGAGUUGUGUAUCCAAUAUUUUCCACGCGCCACAGAUGCCACCUCUGGUAGACAAAACAAGUCUAUCAGUCUGUGCCUUAACAAAGAAGUAAUCUUCAAAUACUUUUGGAACAUGUACUCAACACCAUACCAGGCAGAAAAUACACAGUCUGAUUUUCAUUGACACAAAAGGCAAUUUAUAAAGCUCAGGAAGCCUUGCAAGGAUUAAAGCAGAUGUCUGCACCCACUUAGAGCUUUCUUUCCACACCAGUGUUGUGUAACUGAAUAGUUGUUCAGGACUUGCUGCUGCUGAACUGGGUAGUAGUGACAAUGUGGAGGGAGGACCAUAAACAUGUUCCCCAUAAGACCUCUGGGACUCACCUGUGGAAAUCCUGAGGAGGAAGAGACCUCAAGUCAGUUCAAAAGAAGACAGCAGCAAAAAUCUAUCAAGUAAGAGACAGUGAGACCCAUUCUUGAACAUGGGCAAUAGAGUAAAUAUGAUUCUUUGAGAAAGCAAUAUUUAUUGUAUCCUGGGGUAGAGGAGGUACAUAGAAGGAUGUCUUCUCAAUUUCUUGAAUUACAUGCAAAAUUUAACUAUGACUGACUGAGCUUUUACACAUCUCUGAGAGUGUGAGGUCUUGGGGUCUCUGAACUACUAUAAGUAGCAGGUCAGGAGAUCCAGGUUCUGGGGCUAAAACUCACUCUAGCACUUAGGUAUUUCCUUUCUACCCAUAGCACUCCUUUAAAAACGUAAGGAACACUGAAAACAGCGGAAUCUCUCUUGGAGUUAGGCCUCUGUUGCACUUGCACAUUUAAGGCUAUUCUACAAUAUGACUUUUCCUCCCUCUUUUCUUCUUUGUCCUCUGACUUUUCAUUUUCUUCUUCAUUUAUUGCCUGUCCCUCUUCAUUUUCAUUCCACAUACACAGACUCUGUUCUCAAUGCUAUUAAUCAGUUAUUGUCACAACUCCCUUCCUUCCUUGUUUAUCUCUCGUUUUAGAUCAUCCAUUGUACUUACAAAGUAGAUCUGUGUAGAUCCAUUAGUGAAACCUGUGUGCCUCUUUAAGACCCAAGCUAGUUUUUAACUACACACUCAGUGUUUCCUCCUUUUUAUUUUGCUCUCCCACAUCAAAAGAAAACCCCAAGUAAAUAAUACAGGUAUGCCCUUGCUCUUUUGUUUUCAGAGUUCUUUCUCUUUUCUUGUUUGGUUUCUCUUUGAUUUUUCAGGUGUGGUCAAAAUCUGAAGGUGUUGCCGACGUAUUUCAUUGUAGAGACUGAUCAUCUCCAAGUUACAUAAAACCUUCAUGAUAAACAACCAGAGUAUGGCAUAUCAGGAAGGUAAAUCCUCUGAACUCCUACGUGUCAUGCUAUGGGGAAUCAUGCUACAAAACCCCCUACUGGGAAACAAGUUGUAGCACCUCGAGGAGCUGGAGUGGUUGCACCUGCCUUGUGAAACAAUUCCUCCAAGGGCAAUUCUGCAUUUUUACUUCUGCCUUAAGAGAUUUCUUUGCCUUCUGGACUUCUAUUCAGCUUGGUCUUCACAAGAAAAGGUCCCAACUAUUUCUGUUCUCAUAAAGUUCUUUCUGUAAGUAAGAAUUUGUCUGCUCGGCUUUGACUGAAGCUCAAUCAGUAUUAAUAAUGAGUUAAGUCAGAUAUGGCCAUAUGGUGCGGAGCUCAAAACCCUCUAACUUCCCAGCUACUUACCUGGGGCUCUGAGCUCCACAUUGCUGCAGCUCUGUUGCUGUCAGCACUCAAAAUUACUAGUUUAAUGCUAGGUUGAGCACAUCUAACCAUGCAGCAGCCACAGAACUGUUUGGUGAAGCGACAUACUUUCCGAAACAUGCUGACCUUGGAUUAAAUAAACCAGAGAAAAAGAGCCUGAAGUUCCCUAACUUGCUACAAUGCAGUCCUGCUAUUAUUAAGUCUGCUGCUGAAUGUGUGAAAGUGUGUGGGAUCAACACAAACUUCACAGAAGCAAAGCCCCAUGGUAGGUGGCAAUGGCAGCUUUGUCAGAAAAAUCUGCAGAAUAUGCUCUGAGGCUGUGCCGCUGGAACAAAGCAGAGAAGUACAAGAAACAUCAUUAUAGACUGAAAAAAGGAAUCUCUACAGGCACUCUUAUUCGGAUCUCCUUGGGAGAGAGAAGGGGUUAGUAUUGGUAAUAAACUGUAAAGGUCUCAUUUGAGGCAAGAGGAAGAGAGAGAACUGGUGCCAAGAAACAGUACAGAAGAUGAGAACGAGUGGAAGAAAAGAAAGCAAGCUCUGGACUAUUUGAUAAUGAGGUGUGCCUGUCCAGUGUCCUGAGGAAUGAAUAAUGUUAGAGAAUAUAUAGGAACUGCCAAGGCCAGUGUGUUUCACUUGCAGGGUCUCAUUCCUGAGGACUGUGAGUUAUCGUCACUGACAGUGUGCCACAAUCACUAUCCAACUAAGGUUGCUGAUACCUAUCAGAGUGAUUUGGAAAUAUGAAGAGACAAUCCAGUGAUUAUGGAAAAUGUGCGAGCAAAGAGAUAGAGAAGACCUAGCAGAAAGAGGAAUGUUGUGUUCCAGGAUGUGCCUUGUCCUGGGACAGUAGAAAACUGUGAAGCAACGGCUUACGGAUUUUGCACUCCCUGGACAAAAGGAGUUAAGAUAAACUGAUUAAGAUGAUGUCUCUCCUAUGGACUUAACAUAUAUCCUUCAACAUCCUUGAGAGUUAAGAGAAAUUAAAUUUAUUUUCAGAGAUAUAUUUCCUUCUUCCUCUUCCUUCUUGUUAUAAACAGUAAGGUCUGUGCUGAUUUAUUGGAAUUACUCCUUUCGCUGUGAUGUGCAGGAUUAGUAAUGAGCUACUCUGUCUGAAACGUGAUGUUAGGUAUUAAACAUAGCACUUCUGGAAAAAAUAUGCAAUUCCUGUGAUGAUAUAAACCCAAGGUUUAUUUCUUACUACUUGUGUCUUACAGACUGAAACGUGUAAUUUUAUUUUUAGAGGUGUACUGUUCUACUGCAGCUCUUUUGAAGUAGUGUUGAUGGUGUUCUAUAGCAUUUCAUAGUUGCUGAAUAUGGGCACCUUUACAUUUAAGAAUGUCAUGUUCUAUUUUUCCAUACUUAUAGUAACUUUUAAAACCUUUAGAGUUGUUUAGUAGUACGUGCCUUUGUAAUCAGAUUCUGUGGGUGGUACCUUUUGAAAUAAAUUGCCUGAAGAGCUUUAAUAAAAGAAAACAGCCUGAAGGUAAUUGGUUUGCUGAAGGCUGGAGCAGGCCCAGUUAACCUCAAUGGUUGAGCCAUCCCACAGCGAUUAUUUGAACCUUAAUAAUAUCAACCCUUCAAGUUUCUAAGUGUUCCAUGACUCUACUGGUUUUGGCAAAAUUUGAAAAUAGGUCUCAGGAGCUAAAAAUCAGCAGAACAUAUCAUACUACUCUUUUUCUAUGUCGGUUACAUUAAAAACUCUAUCUGGAGCCUGUACCCUUCAAUCACUCAGACAGUAACAAUAGACUCCUUUGGUUACUAAAUUUACAGCAAGGUUACUUGAUUAAAAUCAAAUAUAAA
Long non-coding RNA from Corapipo altera (White-ruffed manakin), 3621 nucleotides. RefSeq lists it as uncharacterized. The transcript is spliced from 5 exons. Lineage: Eukaryota; Metazoa; Chordata; Aves; Passeriformes; Pipridae. The record is from RefSeq and is a predicted model, not a curated record.